RNAcentral lists this long non-coding RNA (809 nucleotides) under Lepidothrix coronata (blue-crowned manakin). RNAcentral's name for it is "lncRNA (ENSLCOG00000004157.1)". The record is from RNAcentral. Lineage: Eukaryota; Metazoa; Chordata; Aves; Passeriformes; Pipridae.
GGCCUCCAGCACCUUCCCCAGAGACCUUCCUGGCCUUGGUGGCCGUGCAGGACAACCUCAGCCAGCCCCUGGUGCAGCCCCUGCUGCAGAUCCACUCGUGCUGUGUGACCCCCUCCGCCAGCCCCGGGGCCCCGGGAGCCCAGUGCUGCCUGUUCCGCAGGCUGCCAUUUGAGUGCAGGCACAUCCAGCUGCUGCAGAGCAGCAGGUCCAGAGCUGCCAGCUUCACCAUCCAGCUGUUCCAGAUGCUGAACCACUCCGUGGCCUACCUGCACUGCGAGCUGGACGUGUGUCUGCACGGAAAGGCGGGAUGUGAGCAGGACUGCUUGGAAAGUGUGGAGCCAGUUCUGCAGCCCAGUGACAGGAACAGCCAUGGAAACCUGCACAACCUCAUCUCAUUUGGCCCAGUUUGGAGGAUGAAGGACAGGUUUCUGUACAAACCUGUGGAAGGUCCUGGCUCUGCUGUGCUGCUGCCCAUCCUGCUGGGCUCCCUCACUGGCUUUGCUGUCCUGGGCAGUGCCUUCAUAAGCCUUUGGCUGCACCACAGGCAGAAAUCCAAACCCCUGCACUACCCCCCCUUUGGAGACACCCAUGGGCUGUGAGCCUGGAGCAGCUCCUGGUCCUGCAGCUCCCACAUCAGCUCUGCAGUGACCAGGGGAGAACAGGUCCUGCCCUGCACAUUGUAGUGCUUCUGUAGAGCUUCUGCUGACCCAGGGAGCAAGAGGGGUCCCACCUCUGCCCGGGGCACGUCUCCCCUUCCCUCCUUUCCCUCUGCAUGAGCGAGCCCACAAACUGCAGAGUAGAGAAGGGCC